Tympanuchus pallidicinctus (lesser prairie-chicken) is the source of this 5308-nucleotide long non-coding RNA. RefSeq lists it as uncharacterized. Lineage: Eukaryota; Metazoa; Chordata; Aves; Galliformes; Phasianidae. The record is from RefSeq and is a predicted model, not a curated record. The transcript has 4 exons.
CUGCGUCUAACGCCGAGCGCUGCCGGCAACAGCCUGCUCCCUAAUCCCUGCUAGGGAGGAAUUGCGACAGCGCUCCUGCCUCCUCACGCUCAUUUUUGUGCGGAAGAUGACGCGGCGAUGCCCCCACAGCCACGCUGCUCGAUGCCUGCAGGUGCUGCGCGCGGUGCUGCCCGGCGGACCCGCGCCCAGGAAUCACUGUAACAGCUAUGACAUCUGACCCCUGCUAAGAACAUGUCCUGACUCACCUUGUUCUUACUAUUAAAGUUAAAGAAUUCAGGGAGACUACAGGCUGGAGAGAUAAUCAGAAGCAAAAAGUUUAAUGAGUAGAGGAAGAGAAUCUAUACGGAUAUUAAAUCUUCACCAUCAUUUUUCUCUCUUGAGACCAGAUACAAAGGCUUGUGAAGUGAAAAAAGUCCUUCCACCAUCUCAUUUGGGCUUAUGGUUUGUCUCUCAUACCUCACCAGCUGUGCUAGCAGGUCCAUUAACAUAUUUUGCUAGUUCUUAGCCUGCCUCAAGAGAAAAAAAUGCAUGCUGAAUCUUGCCCCUUCUGACUUUCCUCAGUCAAGGUGCUACUGUUCUGAGAGCCAGGCCCUCUGACUGAAUAAGGAUGCACCUUGCCUGAGACUGGAAGGGCAACAAGUGGCAGUGAAAGAAGGCGAGUUGCAGGACAGUCUGAAAACACCUCUUGACUAAGAAAAAUGUGAACUUUAGGUCAGGCUUUGAAAAAAAAAAAAAGCACAAUGCCUAGAAUACAAGCUAAGCCAUCCCUCAGUAUCUAUUCAUAUUUACUGCGGGUUGUCUUUGAGGACACUUCUGCCUGUAACAUCUUGGGAAUGACACUGGACCUUUGGAAAUCCUUAGAGCAAUAGCAAGGUCACAAGGACUGACAGGAAAUGGGAUUCUGUGCAAAUGCUGCUGCAGAAGUUGACACUGAGAAAGUGCAAAGGGGACUCUGCUCAGGGCAAAGCCUUUCUGCCUCCCUUCUCUUUUUUUUUCACUGAGCUGUUGGCAUGUGGAAAUGAUUCCAGCUGCAAGCUGAAAGCCUACAGAAAACAUUAAAACUAUUAGAAAUAUGUAGAGAUUUUAGAGCCAUGAAGGGUAGUAAUGAGCAUUUAUGUACUUCAGUAACGCCCCCAGAAAAGAUUCCCUAUUACGUUAGCUGCAGCUGUGCUUCCCCUCACUUAAUAGCCUGUGUCCUGACCAGCUCUGCAGAGGUGAGUGAGAAUAUAUGAACAGACAACACAGGAGAGAUCUAUGUGGAAUGUGAAGCAGAAGAUGGAAGCAUUAAAAAUAUGUCCUGGAUGUUGUUUGGCCCUCAUUUUCUCCUGCCAGCUGCAGAGACCCAAAGAUAAUCUUCUCCUAACACGCUCUGGACAGCAACAAGGCAUUCUUGGCAAAUCUGAUGCUGUGUUCACCAUGGAUUUUGGCAAUUACUCCAGUGUUGUUUUCCUAGGCAGCAGAUAGUAAUUACAACUCUGAGAGGUAUAAAAUGACUAGGUUCAUUUCGGCUGAAUAUUCAGCUUUAAGUCUAAAAUGAAACCCUAUAAAAUUCAACAUUAUUAGCUAUUAGGCUGUUAACAAUUUUAGCAGAAACAUCCAGCUAUUUUAGGAUUGUGAAUGGAAUUUGAAAAGGGCAUCACCAGGUUUUCUUCAACUCUUUCUUCAUACACACAGCUCACUAAGAAUAAACAGUCAGAUCUGCCUUUUGAUGCAAUGCUGUUCUGGAAUGCAGUUAAAUCAAUGAUUCUUUAAAGCAUGCUGUUUUGGUUUUUUUUUCCCUAUUUUUUUAUCCAGUGUAUGCAGUGGUAGCUGAAAAACUAAUCUUGUACUCACCUGGGCAUCUUUGUGAUAGUAGUAAAUAGUUUAUGGUCACCUUCAGUCAAAAGUGGCCUCACAUAAGAGAAUACUUUAUUUCUUAUUACCGGUGGAUAUGGCCAACAUCUGUAUUUUUUGUUGUUGUUUGUUUGAUUUCUCUUUUUGAGCUCUCCAAAACUUAAUUUCUGUUAAUGCUUCUUUUCCUCAUUUGACUGGGCUUCCAGAAGAAGAGUGCUUCAUUACCAUAGGCACUCAGUUUUAUGCCAAAUGCCAAAUUUUCUCAGGUAACAUGUUUUUGUUAGUUCUUAUGAGUUCUCAAGCUUUUAAGACGUGUGUCUCCCUCCCAAAGACCUCCUUCCAGUUUAAAUAUUGUUACUAGGCACAAUGUCCCUCAAUAGUUUUAAUUUCCCUAGAAUCCCUUUCUGAUCAGUUGUGUCAACUACACUGAUGGUAGCUAAAAAUCUUAGUUUAUCUAACAUGUCACCAUCACUCUAUUAAUUUUCCACUGCAGUGUGCUGUUUCCAUUAUAGUAAUCUAGAGGCCUGGGGAGAGAAUGAAUAUUCAGCUUUAGCCAGGCAAAGUCAGGUGUUUUUCCAAAGCUUCUCAAACUCUGGACAUUCACUUCUUUUCUCCUCACAUCAAAAUGUCACUUACGGAUAUUACUGUACUCUGUUUACCAUCUACGGUUCACUCUAUUUUCCAGUGUAGUGGGAGUGUCAAUUGGAGGAAACCAUUUGCUUCAAAGUAGUAUGCUCUCAAAAAUACUUGCUUGAUUUUUCUUCAGUUAGUUUUUAGAGUUUUUCACCCCCUAAUAGUGCCAACCGGCAACUUGCCAACAUAUUGGGUGGAUAAAAUAUUUGCCAUCUGACAGUUCUCCAGAAAUACCUCUCCUUGUGCAAAUUUUCUGCAAGGAAAGUGAUCACUCUAUGUAUGUAUUUAAUCUCCAUGAUUCUUAUCAGGUAAGAAUUUUAAGCAUUGCUGUUUUAGCACUGAUGACUGAACAGCCAACUGUGCUCUUCUAUAACAAUAAGAAUCUCAGAGCAACAAUUCAGUACUGCUUUCUCUUUAGAUGCAGAUGUAGGGGGAGUGAAAACCAGGGAAGGCAGGACUUAGCCCUUGGGCGUUGGGCCUUCAAUUCAGUCUCCUUCCUGUGGGUCAUACUCUUCUACAUCUCCACAUUUUUUUCUUCUUUCUGCUUCACUGAAGAAAGCACCCUCUUGAUUUGACCACAAGCUUGACACGGUUUUAACUCAGAAAUGGGAUCUUUUUUGUUGUUUGUACUACCUCAAAAUGGUAGGGUUAUUUUUUUUUGUUCUUUUCUUUUCCUCCUGACCUCUUAUUUCAUAUACUCACAUGGUGAAAAUCAAGUCUCAUACAGAUGCCCUAUGUUCCAUAACGCACUUAUUUCUUUUUCAUCUGUAAGUUCUUCUGUUGAUGACGCUGCAUUCAUUGCUAAUGUCCUUGUUCUGGCACCAUACUCCCUUGUACACCUAUACCCAAUUUAAAUUUAAUAACAGCCUCACAGCAUGCACUGUGAUAGUCCAUCGGUCUAUGCAGAAUCCUCCUGAGCCAGUGAUGCUUCUUUAUCCUCGCUGUGUGUACUCUUAAAAAAUGAUGUGAUUUAUUGUAGUUAUUGUAUAUUUUCCAAGUCCUCAGUGCCAGGGUCUUUAACAGAGGUCUGUUUCAUUCAACGUCUUAGUCUAACCGGUCAGCACUGUGUCACAGGAACCUCUGAGCAGCACAAUAACCAAGCCCAACUGGUCCACAUAACAAAAGGGCUUCUGUGGCAACAAGCUGCUACAGAAGAGACACUGCCAUGGAGACCAUUCUUGAUCCAGUAAGAAAGAUCUAUUGUAUUUCACAUCCCUUUGUUCUGAAAGCAGUAGGAAUUAUCUCACAACCAUUCAUCAUGAGCCAAUGAGAUAUCGCGAGUGUAAUGUUUGGGGACUGCAAAAGUGUCAAAGCUCAUAAAAUUAGUCUUCUUGGGGAAGGGAAAGUAAAAAGGAAGUGAAAUACAUGCUAUCUGCUGAACUAGAAGAGUAUUGAGAUGAGCUUGAGAAUUAAAGGGAGACCAAAUGGGCUUACCUGCACUCCCCAAGUAAUUGCUUGCUUUGGAAUGAGGUACACAUCUGCACACGAGCAGUGAGGAGACGGAAUGAAAGAAGAGAGUAAAGCUGACUUACUGUCUGCACAUUGAAUGUGGCAAGGGACUGCGCACUGAGCUUUUAAUUUGGUUAUAAGCAUUUCUGUUCUUUUUUGACAUCUAUCAACUUUUUGUUUUGUUUUCCUGAGAUGCAUCUCUGUUCUCUCUCCCCUCUUUGCUCUUAUGCAAAAGAGUACUUUGUAGGUAAGCUUGUCUUUCUAUUGAGGUGUAAUGCAUUACAUAGGGUAAGAUCCUGAGACUGACAUUUUCUUGCUAUGAUCCAAAACUACUUGUAUGUAUGCAAAACCUGCCUGGGAGCAGAAUGCAUUUGUCCAGCCUUGUAAGGCCAGACUGCAUUCCGGGAGUGGCUGUGCAGCCGGUGCGUCCACACCCUGUGUGUGCUGCCCACACGGAAAGCUGAGGCUCCUAUCUCAGAUUUCUACAUGAAAUAAUAAUAAUAAUAAUAAUAAUAAAUAUAUAUAUAUAUAUAUACACAAGAGAAUCUUAUUUGGAAACAUUUUGUAGCUCAUUUUGUGAAUUAUCUACCUUCCACUAAUUACAGUUCUGUGAGUGCAUUCAAAUCUGAUGGUAAAAACUUGCUUUAUUUUCUCCAUAGAUCCACAGGGAAAAACUUCAAUAGAAAACAGCAAAUUGUUGAUGUUAAUACUUAGUUGCUUUUCACUUUUCCUCCCUCUUUUAUUUUAGGCAUCAGACUUUCAAAGCUUAGUUCCAUGUGAAGCUCUCUCAGUUGGUAUAUGAUGUCAAACUUAUUUUUGGGACAUGUAAAAAUACUGUAAGGGCUCACUAGUCUUCUAAUGAGGUAAAAUUACUUCUGAAGGAUAAAAUUAGCAUGCUGGAACUUUCCCAACAAUUAUAUUUGUACAGCCCUACCAUGUAUAUUAUACAGCAUGCUUCUAAAAAAUCAUUACUAUGAAAUACAAAUUCUUGAUGUCUUUUUGCAAUCUUUAGUUAUUUUGAGGUACUUUUUAAUGCAAUAAUAACUUUUUCUCUCCCUCCAGAAUCUUUAAAUUUGCACUAAGAAUAAUCCACAGUGUAUAAUUUUACUAUUGCGAGAAAUAAAAUAAUUGUAAUGAAACAGAGUUCAAGAAGCUGGUUAAAAAUGAAGAAGAAAAAUAGAAAACAUAUAUAUAGAUUAUACUUCUUAAAAUAGUUUAUUUUUUCCCCAACAAUUUUUACACUUUUCAUUUAUCUUGACAACUUCUAGUGAAUGUCACCUGAGAUGAGGCAGAAAUGUGAAAUCAGGAAAUAUCAUAUUAGCCAAUUUUCCAAGAUAAAAAGAAAAAUUUAGAAGGUUAACUAACCUACAGCAGAUUGAGAAAGCAGGAUAGA